UACGGGGGGGGCAAGCGUUGUUCGGAAUUACUGGGCGUAAAGGGCUCGUAGGCGGCCAACUAAGUCAGACGUGAAAUCCCUCGGCUUAACCGGGGAACUGCGUCUGAUACUGGAUGGCUUGAGAUUGGGAGAGGGAUGCGGAAUUCCAGGUGUAGCGGUGAAAUGCGUAGAUAUCUGGAGGAACACCGGUGGCGAAGGCGGUUCUCUGGGCCUGUACUGACGCUGAGGAGCGAAAGCCAGGGGAGCAAACGGG
Molecule: ribosomal RNA, 253 nt
Filed under: uncultured bacterium
Lineage: Bacteria
Description: partial 16S ribosomal RNA
Rfam family: Bacterial small subunit ribosomal RNA
Source: RNAcentral